Molecule: long non-coding RNA, 1083 nt
Organism: Vidua chalybeata
Lineage: Eukaryota; Metazoa; Chordata; Aves; Passeriformes; Viduidae
Exons: 3
Source: RefSeq, a predicted model, not a curated record
UUCCAUCCAUGUACCAGCCUCUUCCUUUUCCCUCUCAGUGGGGGCACCAUGCCACUGGCUGGCUGCAGCACAGGCCCCUCAUGCAGCAGCUCUGACCCCCGGGCCCGGGGAGGGGAGCCAAGCCCAGGGACAGGAGCCAGGCCCAGGGACAGGAGCUGAGCCCAGGGACAGGAGCCAGGCCCAGGGACAGGAGCUGAGCCCAGGGACAGGAGCCAGGCCCAGGGACAGGAGCUGAGCCCAGGGGCAGGAGCUGGGCCCAGGGACAGGAGCUGAGCCCAGGGACAGGAGCCAGGCCCAGGGACAGGAGCCGGGCCCAGGGACAGGAGCCGGGCCCAGGGACAGGAGCUGAGCCCAGGGACAGGAGCCAGGCCCAGGGACAGGAGCCAGGCCCAGGGACAGGAGCUGAGCCCAGGGACAGGAGCUGGGCCCAGGGACGGGAGCCAGGCCCAGGGACGGGAACUGGGCCUGGAUGCAGCAGAGGCUCUGUGGGCAGCCAGGACCCAGCCUACAGCCAGGCACGGCUGGGCUGCUGCAAGGCCAGAGAGUGGCCUCAGGCUGGGUUGCUUUUAGUUCAGGUUUGGAGUACCAAAAUCAAGUCCUUGCUUCUGUUACCACCUGUAAACACCAGCUUCUGUUUCUGUAUCUCUGGCACAUGCCUCAGCCUGCUGGCAGGCAGAGGGAAUGUCCUGAGCAAGGCCAGUUGUCCCAGGGGCUUACAAUGGUGGCUCUCAGAGUGAUUGACCAUCCUGUCUCCCAAAGCACAUCGUCUCCUAGAGAACCAGGAAAGCCUGGAAGUGCCUCAGCCAUUUGCCUUAAGGAGAGAAGCCUCACCCUUCACCACACUUUCUAAUGCACAGGCUUGCUCAUUUUCUGUGAAGAAUUAAAUAUCCCCAGUCCAGAAAUCUAGGCUGACUCACAUGGAAUGCAGGAAACCAAGCUUUUCUCACAGAUUAUCCUCUGCUAUGCUUCUAUAGCAAGCCUGAAAUAAAGAGAACUUGCCAGGACUCAGGGAUGUCAUGAAGUCUGUCUCUAAAAGGCUUAUUAAAAACUACAAGGAAGAUUUAUGGGUUUGCUUUUCUUCAA